Cebus imitator (Panamanian white-faced capuchin) is the source of this 554-nucleotide long non-coding RNA. RefSeq lists it as uncharacterized. The transcript is spliced from 2 exons. Lineage: Eukaryota; Metazoa; Chordata; Mammalia; Primates; Cebidae. The record is from RefSeq and is a predicted model, not a curated record.
GCCCUGCUAACGGGGGCUCACCUUCCCUAAGCCUCGGCGGGGCCAGGAGGGCGAGGCAGGUUCUCUGCACUUCCCAAACUGGGAAACUGAGGGUCCGGGAGGGCGCUCGCCGGAACCCGGGUCCUACCUGGCACUGGGAGCCCGCUCACCCCGCCCCAGGAGCGUUUCACCUCCCUGUUCUUUGCAUGAUUCGCGCUAGCCAUGCAAAGCAUUGGGAGGUGAACCCGGCCCACUCAGCCUGUAAGUCACGACUGGAAUGUGUCGUCCUCCACACCACCCUCCAGGGCCUGUGUUUUCCAGGGUUCUGAGAAUGGACCCCAUUGUGACCAUGUGGCUUGUCCAGAGAGGCUGGAAUUCCUGCCCUGGGUGAAAAAGCUGAAUUCCUGCGGAGAGAAGGGGUCUCAGGCUCCCCAGGCUAUGUCCCAGAGAGGCCACAUGCUACAGACAUCACAGACCCCAGAACCCCCCGGCAUUUUGAUUGUCUCCUGAACAUCCCAGAGGGUCUCUGCUGCUGCUCUGUCCGUAGCGAAAGAACAAAGCACUGUCUGUCUGUC